Molecule: long non-coding RNA, 1046 nt
Organism: Homo sapiens (human)
Lineage: Eukaryota; Metazoa; Chordata; Mammalia; Primates; Hominidae
Source: Ensembl
UCAAAGCUUCUAGUGCAGUCACUUUCUAGUCAUUUUAGAACCCAGAGCAGUGUGACGAUUUGAUGCUUAAGUUUCAACACGUUUUAUUAAUCCAUUCUUCUUGUGCUUCAUUUAAAAUAUUGGAAACUAUAAAAAGAUCAGCGUGUUAAUCCUCUGCCAGGAAACGGGAAAAAAAAGUUAAAAACCUAACAACAACACGAAAAGAGCAAGAGCGCUGGAAUCUCAGCUUUGAGGAAACACAUGGGAUGAAAGCAUCCGCCCAAGCUCUAACCAUUUGUCACAUGGGACUCUUCCCCUCGGGGGUGAAUCCUGGAUGUCCCCAGGAUGGAGCGAGGAGGUCGUGCGUGCGGGCGAGUGUGUGACUGCAGGGGGCCUUGGCGGCGCGAGGAGGCGACGCCGCCCCCUCCCUCAGGCGCAGGGAGGGUCUUCCAGGAAGCGGCGGAUCUCUGCUGACUCCGCGGCUGCGGGCCCCGGGCUGCGGCCGCCCAGGCCGGCACGUAGCGCCGAGCGUGACUCAGCGCUGACUCAUCCGACUCGCUGCCAGUGGAUUUCCCCCGUCAGCUGCUCGCGCUACUCCUGUCGCCGGGAGCUCGCAGGACUUCGCAGAUACCGCUGCCUCCUUAGUCUUUCCUGAAUAGCAGAGCAGUCCUGUCGCUUUAAACAGAGCAAGGCAGCUUUCACUGCUUUUGAAUCCCGACCGAGCGGGGCACUGCCGUGCUUUGUUUUCUUUGCCUUUAAGAGUGCAAUAGUCCACUAAUCAAAUUCUUUCAUCAAAAGAGUGUUGGGACAAAUCCCUGACAUCGUCCUUCCACUGUGAUUUGGAGAUGACCUCCACCCAGGUUUCACUUCCGUUGUACCCAGCUCUCGUCUUAUUUUUGUCCCUCAUUUUGUGAAUUUAUCCUCUCACUACGCUUGAUAACUAACCUUGGCGCAAACCCACAACUGUGGUGACGCAAAUCAGGUUGGAACUUGGCAUCGUUGUGUGCGGGCAGUGAGGGACUUACUGUAAAAACUGGGGCCUUCAUAAAGGCGUUCUUAUUUGCAAU